Molecule: ribosomal RNA, 445 nt
Filed under: uncultured bacterium
Lineage: Bacteria
Description: bacterial SSU rRNA
Rfam family: Bacterial small subunit ribosomal RNA
Source: RNAcentral
UGAGGAAUUUUGGACAAUGGGGGAAACCCUGAUCCAGCGACGCCGCGUGAAGGAUGAAGGUCUUCGGAUUGUAAACUUCUUUUAUUUGGGACUAAGAAACCUGUAGAAACACGGGGAGUGAAUGUACCAAGUGAAUAAGCCACGGCUAACUUCGUGCCAGCAGCCGCGGUAAUACGAAGGUGGCAAGCGUUACUCGGAAUUACUAGGCGUAAAGGGCAGGUAGGUGGUUCGAUAAGUCUGUUGUGAAAGCUCCUGGCUCAACUGGGAGAGGCCAACAGAAACUAUCGGACUUGAGUAUGGGAGAGGGUACUGGAAUUCCCGGUGUAGCGGUGAAAUGCGCAGAGAUCGGGAGGAACACCAAUGGCGAAAGCAGGUACCUGGACCAUUACUGACACUCAACUGCGAAAGCUAGGGGAGCAAACAGGAUUAGAUACCCCUGUAGUCC